GUCAAAUCAUAGUUUGUUUCAAUGGUAUCAUUUGAUGUAACCAUUUAUAUGACAAACCAAUUGUAUUUUAUUCAAAGGCACCUGUAAAUUAUAAAUCUUCUAAUGUCCAAUUGCUAGAAUUUGUGAUGGCUGAUUUAUAACUAACUCAUGAAACUGUCCAUAUGUUUGAUAUUUCACUUGAUUAAUGCUCCUGAAACAACAACAAAAUAUUAAAAUACACUUACUUUGUUUGCUGAUCCUGUGGCUAGAAGAUAGAGUUAGGAGUGAAAACCUUCGAAUAAUGGUGCCCCUCUGCACAAAACAUUUAAUUUUCGUGGUAUUAAAUUAAGGAUUUUAAUCAUUUAAGAAAAUACUGAGUUCUAUAGAUUCAAACAUACAGUAUAGCCUUUUAAUGUUUUAAUCACUGGACAAUGAAUGCUAUAUUUGUACAUGUAUUUGUAUAUGUAACUGCACUGUAUUGAUUUUAUUGGACUUAUGUGUGUUACUAUGAAACAUAGCAGCAAUUUCCCUUUAAGUCUUUGAAUUUUAAUUACAUUAUAAAUAUACUAAAAAUGUUAAUGUACUUGCAUUAAUUCCACAUUAAAAAUAUCCAACCUU
This 597-nucleotide long non-coding RNA is filed under the name Bos taurus (domestic cattle). Its description in RNAcentral is "long non-coding RNA NONBTAT026313". The record is from RNAcentral. Lineage: Eukaryota; Metazoa; Chordata; Mammalia; Artiodactyla; Bovidae.